RNAcentral lists this ribosomal RNA (498 nucleotides) under uncultured bacterium. RNAcentral's name for it is "bacterial SSU rRNA". It matches the Rfam family "Bacterial small subunit ribosomal RNA", at positions 8 to 518 of the family's 1533-position model. The record is from RNAcentral.
AGAGUUUGAUCAUGGCUCAAGAUGAACGCUGGCGGCGUGCUUAACACAUGCAAGUCGAACGGAACUUAAUGAAACCUAGUGAUUUAAGUUUAGUGGCGGACGGGUGAGUAACGCGUGGGUAACCUGCCGCAUGCAGGGGGACAACAGAGGGAAACUUCUGCUAAUACCGCAUAGGCGCACGGGGCCGCAUGGCCUUGUGUGAAAAGAUUUAUCGGCAUGCGAUGGACCCGCGUCUGAUUAGGCAGUUGGUGAGGUAACGGCCCACCAAACCUACGAUCAGUAGCCGGCCUGAGAGGGUGAACGGCCACAUUGGGACUGAGACACGGCCCAAACUCCUACGGGAGGCAGCAGUGGGGAAUAUUGCACAAUGGGGGAAACCCUGAUGCAGCCGACGCCGCGUGAGUGAAGAAGCAUUUCGGUGCGUAAAGCUCUGUCAGCAGGAAAGAAAAUGACGGUACCUGACCAAGAAGCCCCGGCUAACUACGUGCCAGCAGCUGC